CGCCUCUUGAGUAAUAAAUAUAAGAGGUACCGCCUGCCCAGUGACAAUGUUUAACGGCCGCGGUAUUUUGACCGUGCGAAGGUAGCGCAAUCACUUGUCUUUUAAAUGAAGACCUGUAUGAAUGGCAUAACGAGGGCUAAACUGUCUCCUUUUUCAAGUCAAUGAAAUUGAUCUUUCCGUGCAGAAGCGGGAAUAAAAAUAUAAGACGAGAAGACCCUUUGGAGCUUAAAAUAAAUCUGACUUAUCAAAUAAAUUCUUGCUAAGGAAACAAUUAAAUUAAAACUCAGAAUAAUUUUUGGUUGGGGCAACCACGGAGUAAAAAAAAACCUCCGAGGGGAAUGGGUUAUUAACCUAUAAUUAAGAAUUACUAUUCUAGAUAUUAAUAUAAUUAACCUUAAUGAUCCGGGAAACCGAAUAACGGAAAAAGUUACCCUAGGGAUAACAGCGCAAUCCUUUUCAAGAGUUCAUAUCGACAAAAGGGUUUACGACCUCGAUGUUGGAUCAGGACAUCCUAAUGGUGCAGCCGCUAUUAAGGGUUCGUUU
Molecule: ribosomal RNA, 543 nt
Filed under: Urocampus carinirostris
Lineage: Eukaryota; Metazoa; Chordata; Actinopteri; Syngnathiformes; Syngnathidae
Description: partial 16S ribosomal RNA
Rfam family: Bacterial large subunit ribosomal RNA
Source: RNAcentral